This 591-nucleotide ribosomal RNA is filed under the name uncultured bacterium. RNAcentral's name for it is "partial 16S ribosomal RNA". It matches the Rfam family "Bacterial small subunit ribosomal RNA", at positions 355 to 938 of the family's 1533-position model. The record is from RNAcentral.
UGGGGAAUUUUGGACAAUGGGCGAAAGCCUGAUCCAGCAAUGCCGCGUGUGUGAAGAAGGCCUUCGGGUUGUAAAGCACUUUUGUCCGGAAAGAAAUCCUUGGCUCUAAUACAGUCGGGGGAUGACGGUACCGGAAGAAUAAGCACCGGCUAACUACGUGCCAGCAGCCGCGGUAAUACGUAGGGUGCAAGCGUUAAUCGGAAUUACUGGGCGUAAAGCGUGCGCAGGCGGUUUGCUAAGACCGAUGUGAAAUCCCCGGGCUCAACCUGGGAACUGCAUUGGUGACUGGCAGGCUAGAGUAUGGCAGAGGGGGGUAGAAUUCCACGUGUAGCAGUGAAAAUGCGUAGAGAUGUGGAGGAAUACCGAUGGCGAAGGCAGCCCCCUGGGCCAAAUACUGACGCUCAUGCACGAAAAGCGUGGGGGAGCAAACAGGAUUAGAUACCCUGGUAGUCCACGCCCUAAACGAUGUCAACUAGUUGUUGGGGGAUUCAUUUCCUUAGUAACGUAGCUAACGCGUGAAGUUGACCGCCUGGGGAGUACGGUCGCAAGAUUAAAACUCAAAGGAAUUGACGGGGGUCAUAGCUGUUUCCU